CCUAACGGUUAAUACCCGUUAGCGAUGACAUUAGCUGCAGAAUAAGCACCGGCUAACUCUGUGCCAGCAGCCGCGGUAAUACAGAGGGUGCAAGCGUUAAUCGGAAUUACUGGGCGUAAAGCGAGCGUAGGUGGCUUGAUAAGUCAGAUGUGAAAUCCCCGGGCUUAACCUGGGAACUGCAUCUGAUACUGUUAGGCUAGAAUAGGUGAGAGGAAGGUAGAAUUCCAGGUGUAGCGGUGAGAUGCGUAGAGAUCUGAAGGAAUACCGAUGGCGAAGGCAGCUUCCUGGCAUCAUACUGACACUGAGGCUCGAAAGCGUGGGUAGCAAACAGGAUUAGAUACCCUGGUAGUCCGCGCCGUAAACGAUGUC
Molecule: ribosomal RNA, 369 nt
Filed under: uncultured Psychrobacter sp.
Lineage: Bacteria; Pseudomonadati; Pseudomonadota; Gammaproteobacteria; Moraxellales; Moraxellaceae
Description: bacterial SSU rRNA
Rfam family: Bacterial small subunit ribosomal RNA
Source: RNAcentral